ACUUUAAUGAUGAAAGCUUUGAUAGGGACAUCUGAUGUCUAUGAUUGAUUUAUCACUUUUUAUAUAGAACUGAACUU
This 77-nucleotide small nucleolar RNA is filed under the name Drosophila virilis. RNAcentral's name for it is "small nucleolar RNA Me28S-Cm2645". It matches the Rfam family "Small nucleolar RNA Me28S-Cm2645". From Rfam's summary of the family: Me28S-Cm2645 is a member of the C/D class of snoRNA which contain the C (UGAUGA) and D (CUGA) box motifs. This family directs 2'-O-methylation of 28S C-2645. Lineage: Eukaryota; Metazoa; Arthropoda; Insecta; Diptera; Drosophilidae. The record is from Rfam by way of RNAcentral.